This 253-nucleotide ribosomal RNA is filed under the name uncultured bacterium. RNAcentral describes it as "partial 16S ribosomal RNA". It matches the Rfam family "Bacterial small subunit ribosomal RNA", at positions 524 to 776 of the family's 1533-position model. The record is from RNAcentral.
UACAGAGGGUGCAAGCGUUAAUCGGAUUUACUGGGCGUAAAGGGUGCGUAGGUGGUCGCAUAAGUCGGAUGUGAAAUCCCCGGGCUCAACCUGGGAACUGCAUUCGAUACUGUGAGACUCGAGUUCGGUAGAGGGCGGUGGAAUUUCCGGUGUAGCGGUGAAAUGCGUAGAUAUCGGAAGGAACAUCAAUGGCGAAGGCAGCCGCCUGGGCCUGAACUGACACUGAGGCACGAAAGCGUGGGUAGCAAACAGG